CAAGUAAAACGAAGAACGCUUCGACGAAACACUUUUAAAAAUGUUAGGAAUUUUUUUAUUUUCUUGCUGUGUUGCACUUCUCUAUUGGAUACACAAAUAUUAUCAUACGUUUUGGAAACAUUUGAAUAAGUUUCCAGGACCACUCGCAAUUCUGCCACUUGGAAACUUUCUUCAAAUGACUUUAAGCAUGGAGAAAAAUUUCAAAACAAUGCUUGGAUAUUGUCGACAAUACAAAUACAAUGAUUUUCGAUUUUAUGGUGGCUUGAGUCCAUAUCUUUUAAUUCUAAAACCAGAGAGCAUGGAACAUAUAUUGACUAAUGUUGAGAUCAGUAGUAAAGAAGGUACGUACAAGUUACUUCGACCAUGGCUAGGAAAUGGAAUCGUUGUGGCCAAUGGCAGUUACUGGCAUCAGCGUCGAAAAAUGUUAACACCAUUUUUCCAUUUCGAUAUUAUCAAACAGUAUUUGCCUAUUAUCAAUAACGUAGGAGAUCGUUUCAUAACGCAUUUGAAGAAAUAUUCCCAAACAUUUGAAGUAUUCGAUAUGCAAAAUUUAGGACAACGUGUCACCAUUGAUAUGCUAAGCGAGACCGCAAUGGGAAUUAAACUAAAUGCAUUAGAUAGUAAUACUUCUUCUAUAUGUGACAAAAUACACGCUUUGGGAGAGCUUUUCCAACGGCGCCGAUUUAUCUUGCUUUAUAAUAUACCUAUGUGUUAUGAAUAUACAGCUGACUACAAAAAACAACAACUUUACAUUAAAGAGAUAAAAGUUUUCAUUAAAAAUUAGAUGAUAUCAUCUAUGAUGACAACAUUUCCACAUCUCAAUAUCAUCUAUAAUGAUAUCAUCAAAUCCUCUUAAUAACUGCGAUUUACUCUUUUUAUAAGUCGCGUUUUAAUGGUUUAAUGGUUUAAUGGUUUUCAUAACCAUUGCUUCCAUUAACAAAAAGCAAUGUUGUUUUUCUUACAAAAGGUAUAUAAUUAGCUCUACAAUUAACCGACAAGCGUAUAAGUGAAACUUUUAUAGGAAAUCAACGUUCAAACAGAAUUCAAAAAAUGUGGAACAAAUAGCAUAUAAACAUCUAAAUCGGUUCUAUAAGACUGUAUUUGAAGCAAAUGAAACGCUUGUCUACAAAAAUAUAAAUUUAAUCAUUAAACUAAUGUUGCUCUCCUGCGUUAAGUUUCCCUUCUAGUGCAUCUUUUCAAGGCCUCUAAAUUCUUCAUAUGAUUUAAAAUAAUAUAAUCAGACUUCAAGAAAACCAUGCUUCUUUGUCAUUUAGACACUAAGAUGAAAUUAGAUCAAAAUACAUAAGCCUUAUUAUUUUCUAUUGCUUUGAGUAUAAACUCAGUUAUAGACUCUUAAGAUUAUUUUUAUUUUAAUUCUUAGCCUAAAUGAUAAGAAAAAUAG
Molecule: RNA transcript, 1402 nt
Organism: Teleopsis dalmanni
Lineage: Eukaryota; Metazoa; Arthropoda; Insecta; Diptera; Diopsidae
Gene name: probable cytochrome P450 4e1
Exons: 7
Source: RefSeq, a predicted model, not a curated record